This 758-nucleotide long non-coding RNA is filed under the name Cricetulus griseus (Chinese hamster). RNAcentral's name for it is "lncRNA (ENSCGRG00015004582.2)". Lineage: Eukaryota; Metazoa; Chordata; Mammalia; Rodentia; Cricetidae. The record is from RNAcentral.
GUUUCACUUUGGUACUUGCUGUACAGACUGCUGCCACACUGGCUGGCUAGGUCGCUCUAGCACGCAAGUCUUGAAAUUGUUCAUUGUUCCUCUCACUGCCAGAAGCAGGAGGGUUGUUCUCUUGUCUUCACUGUGAGGGACCUACUAGAGGUCAGGAAGCAAAUGCACAGAAACUCCUUGGUUCUCCUUAGAAUUAGGUCUCCGGGAGCACUCUCAAGCUGGUGCAGGGCAGUGCAGCAUCGCCUGCUGUGACACUGGCUUUCAGGAAGAUGUCCACACUGGAAGGCAAGAUGGCAGGAGGCCCCUUGGUGAUGGGAACAUGUGGCUGGGACUCUUCACCUCUAAACAUUAUAGUGAAACAGAAAGAAGAGAAAGGGCUCAUACUUCUCGAUUAAGACUACCACCGGCUGGCUGGUUCGCUCUAAGCGGGAUAUUGGAAACCCACACCCCAUUUGGGACAGGCUGUGGGUUCCAUCGGGCCCGCCGCCUAGGCCCGGAAAGCACCCACUCUCCACAGGCGUUGCCGGCUAGCAGCUGACCCACGGCAGCUGUGCUGCUCAGUCAUCCACCCAGUUUCUAGCUGCCUAGAGAUAAGCGCAGCCGCUUUUGUGACCUCUCUCCACUGCUGACCGACUGCUGCCAAACGCCUCGGAAUAACUGAAGGCCUGUGCUACCUGCUGGUCAAAUAUAUUUACUGCAUCUGGAGUAGAAAUCAGAGAAUACCCUUCUGGAAUUCUGAUGCAGAGGGAAGACACUAU